CUACGGGGGGCAGCAGUGAGGAAUAUUGCACAAUGGGGGGAACCCUGAUGCAGCAACGCCGCGUGGAGGAUGACGCAUUUCGGUGUGUAAACUCCUUUUAUAUGUCAAGAAAAUGACGGUAGCAUAUGAAUAAGCACCGGCUAACUCCGUGCCAGCAGCCGCGGUAAUGCGGAGGGUGCAAGCGUUACUCGGACUCACUGGGCGUAAAGGACGCGUAGGCGGGUUGGAAAGUCAGGUGUGAAAUCCUACAGCUUAACUGUAGAACUGCACUUGAAACUUCUAAUCUAGAGUAUGGGAGGGGGAGAUGGAAUUAGUGGUGUAGGGGUAAAAUCCGUAGACAUCACUAGGAAUACCUAAAGCGAAGGCGAUCUCCUGGAACAUUACUGACGCUAAGGCGUGAAAGCGUGGGGAGCAAACAGGAUUAGAUACCCGCGUAGUC
This 439-nucleotide ribosomal RNA is filed under the name uncultured bacterium. Its description in RNAcentral is "partial 16S ribosomal RNA". It matches the Rfam family "Bacterial small subunit ribosomal RNA", at positions 339 to 795 of the family's 1533-position model. The record is from RNAcentral.